This 377-nucleotide unclassified non-coding RNA is filed under the name plant metagenome. RNAcentral's name for it is "partial contains 5.8S ribosomal RNA, internal transcribed spacer 2, and large subunit ribosomal RNA". The stretch from base 1 to 104 matches the Rfam family "5.8S ribosomal RNA", at positions 51 to 154 of the family's 154-position model. The record is from RNAcentral.
AAAUGCGAUAAGUAAUGUGAAUUGCAGAAUUCAGUGAAUCAUCGAAUCUUUGAACGCACCUUGCGCUCCUUGGUAUUCCUUGGAGCAUGCCUGUUUGAGUAUCAUGAAAUCUUCAAAGUAAAUCUUUUGUUAACUCAAUUGGUUUCUACUUUGGUAUUGGAGGUCUUUGCAGCUUCACACCUGCUCCUCUUUGUUCAUUAGCUGGAUCUCAGCGUUAUGCUUGGUUCCACUCGGCGUGAUAAGUUAUCUAUCGCUGAGGACACUGUAAAAGGUGGCCAAGGUAAAUGCAGAUGAACCGCUUCUAAUAGUCCAUUGACUUGGACAAUACUUUUAUGAUCUGAUCUCAAAUCAGGUAGGACUACCCGCUGAACUUAAGC